Molecule: ribosomal RNA, 546 nt
Filed under: uncultured Actinomycetes bacterium
Lineage: Bacteria; Bacillati; Actinomycetota; Actinomycetes
Description: bacterial SSU rRNA
Rfam family: Bacterial small subunit ribosomal RNA
Source: RNAcentral
UUGCACAAUGGGCGCAAGCCUGAUGCACCUUCGCCGCGUGGGGGAUGAAGGCCUUCGGGUUGUAAACUCCUUUCGCUAGGGACGAAGCUUUUUGUGACGGUACCUAGAUAAGAAGCACCGGCUAACUACGUGCCAGCAGCCGCGGUAAUACGUAGGGUGCGAGCGUUGUCCGGAAUUACUGGGCGUAAAGGGCUCGUAGGUGGUUUGUCGCGUCGUCUGUGAAAUUCUGGGGCUUAACUCCGGGCGUGCAGGCGAUACGGGCAUAACUUGAGUGCUGUAGGGGUAACUGGAAUUCCUGGUGUAGCGGUGAAAUGCGCAGAUAUCAGGAGGAACACCGAUGGCGAAGGCAGGUUACUGGGCAGUUACUGACGCUGAGGAGCGAAAGCAUGGGUAGCGAACAGGAUUAGAUACCCUGGUAGUCCAUGCCGUAAACGGUGGGCGCUAGGUGUGAGGGUCUUUCUACGACUUUCGUGCCGUAGCUAACGCAUUAAGCGCCCCGCCUGGGGAGUACGGCCGCAAGGCUAAAACUCAAAGGAAUUGACGGAA